UGGACCAGAGGCCUCCUUGCUGUAUG
This 26-nucleotide non-coding RNA is filed under the name Cricetulus griseus (Chinese hamster). Lineage: Eukaryota; Metazoa; Chordata; Mammalia; Rodentia; Cricetidae. The record is from RNAcentral.